RNAcentral lists this ribosomal RNA (468 nucleotides) under uncultured bacterium. RNAcentral's name for it is "partial 16S ribosomal RNA". It matches the Rfam family "Bacterial small subunit ribosomal RNA", at positions 28 to 507 of the family's 1533-position model. The record is from RNAcentral.
GACGAACGCUGGCGGCGUGCUUAACACAUGCAAGUCGAACGGAAAGGCCCUGCUUUUGGGGGGUGCUCGAGUGGCGAACGGGUGAGUAACACGUGAGUAACCUGCCCUUGACUUUGGGAUAACUUCAGGAAACUGGGGCUAAUACCGGAUAGGAGCUCCUGCUGCAUGGUGGGGGUUGGAAAGUUUCGGCGGUUGGGGAUGGACUCGCGGCUUAUGAGCUUGUUGGGUGGGUAGUGGCUUACCAAGGCCUUGACGGGUGGCCGGCCUGAGCGGGUAGCCGGCCACAUUGCGACUGAGAUGCGGCCCAGACCCCUCCGGGAGGCAGCGGUGGGGAAUAUUGCACAAUGGGCGGAAGCCUGAUGCAGCAACGCCGCGUGCGGGAUGACGGCCUUCGGGUUGUAAUCCGCUUUCGCCUGUGACGAAGCGUGAGUGACGGUAAUGGGUAAAGAAGCACCGGCUAACUACGUG